GUUUCUAUUCUGAGCUCUAAGUGUCUCUGGAUUAUGCAGCCUGCUUUAAUUUAUCAGUUUAUUUUAACUGAUGUCUCAGGCGCUGUUGUUGCAUUUUCAGGUUUCUAUUCUGAGCUCUCAGUUUCUCUGGAUUACGCAACCUGCUUUAAUUUACAGUUUAAUUUAUCUGAGGUGUCCAGCGCUGUCGUUGCAUUUCAGGUUUCUGUUCUGAGCUUGAAGUGUCUCUGGAUCACCAGGCCUGCUCUUAUUUAAAAAUUUAUUUAAUUGGACGUCUCCAGAGCUGUGGUUGCAUUUUCAGGUUUCUGUCCUGAGCUCUCAGUGUCUCUGGAUUGCGCAGCCUGCAUUAAUUUAUCAGUUUAUUUAAUCUGAUGUCUCCAGCACUGUGAUUUCAUUUUCAGGUUUCUAUUAUGAGAUCUAAGUGUCUCUGGAUUACGCAGCCUGCUUUAAUAUACAGUUCAUUUUAUCUGACGUCUCCCAGCGAUGUCGUUGCAUUUUAGGUUUCUUUUCUGAUCUCUCAUUGUCUCUGGAGUACACAGCCUGCUUUAAUUUAUCAAUUUAUUUUAUCUGACUUCUCCAAGCACUGUCGUUGCAUUUUCAGGUUUGUAUUCUGAGCACUCAGUGUCUCUGAAUUACGAAGCCUGCUUUAAUUUAUCAGUUUAUUUUUCUAACGUCUCC
RNAcentral lists this long non-coding RNA (675 nucleotides) under Cricetulus griseus (Chinese hamster). Its description in RNAcentral is "lncRNA (ENSCGRG00015033914.1)". The record is from RNAcentral. Lineage: Eukaryota; Metazoa; Chordata; Mammalia; Rodentia; Cricetidae.